RNAcentral lists this ribosomal RNA (468 nucleotides) under uncultured bacterium. RNAcentral's name for it is "partial 16S ribosomal RNA". It matches the Rfam family "Bacterial small subunit ribosomal RNA", at positions 28 to 507 of the family's 1533-position model. The record is from RNAcentral.
GACGAACGCUGGCGGCGUGCUUAACACAUGCAAGUCGAACGGAAAGGCCCUGCUUUUGUGGGGUGCUCGAGUGGCGAACGGGUGAGUAACACGUGAGUAACCUGCCCUUGACUUUGGGAUAACUUCAGGAAACUGGGGCUAAUACCGGAUAGGAGCUCCUGCUGCAUGGUGGGGGUUGGAAAGUUUCGGCGGUUGGGGAUGGACUAGCGGCUUAUCAGCUUGUUGGUGGGGUAGUGGCUUACCAAGGCUUUGACGGGUAGCCGGCCUGAGAGGGUGACCGGCCACAUUGGGACUGAGAUACGGCCCAGACUCCUACGGGAGGCAGCAGUGGGGAAUAUUGCACAAUGGGCGGAAGCCUGAUGCAGCAACGCCGCGUGCGGGAUGACGGCCUGCGGGUUGUAAACCGCUUUCGCCUGUGACGAAGCGUGAGUGACGGUAAUGGGUAAAGAAGCACCGGCUAACUACGUG